AUUGAACGCUGGCGGCAGGCCUAACACAUGCAAGUCGAGCGGAUGAAGGGAGCUUGCUCCUGGAUUCAGCGGCGGACGGGUGAGUAAUGCCUAGGAAUCUGCCUGGUAGUGGGGGAUAACGUCCGGAAACGGGCGCUAAUACCGCAUACGUCCUGAGGGAGAAAGUGGGGGAUCUUCGGACCUCACGCUAUCAGAUGAGCCUAGGUCGGAUUAGCUAGUUGGUGGGGUAAAGGCCUACCAAGGCGACGAUCCGUAACUGGUCUGAGAGGAUGAUCAGUCACACUGGAACUGAGACACGGUCCCGACUCCUACGGGAGGCAGCAGUGGGGAAUAUUGGACAAUGGGCGAAAGCCUGAUCCAGCCAUGCCGCGUGUGUGAAGAAGGUCUUCGGAUUGUAAAGCACUUUAAGUUGGGAGGAAGGGCAGUAAGUUAAUACCUUGCUGUUUGGACGUUACCAACAGAAUAAGCACCGGCUAACUUCGU
This 483-nucleotide ribosomal RNA is filed under the name uncultured bacterium. Its description in RNAcentral is "partial 16S ribosomal RNA". It matches the Rfam family "Bacterial small subunit ribosomal RNA", at positions 30 to 506 of the family's 1533-position model. The record is from RNAcentral.